GCCGGCGUGGCGAAAUUGGCGAUACGCGCCGCUUUUAGGUGGCGGUGCCCGAAAGGGCGUGCGGGUUCGAGUCCCGCCGCCGGCA
RNAcentral lists this transfer RNA (85 nucleotides) under Xylanimonas cellulosilytica DSM 15894. RNAcentral describes it as "tRNA-Leu (TAG) (tRNA-Leu-TAG-1-1)". It matches the Rfam family "tRNA". Rfam says of the family: Transfer RNA (tRNA) molecules are approximately 80 nucleotides in length. Their secondary structure includes four short double-helical elements and three loops (D, anti-codon, and T loops). The record is from Rfam by way of RNAcentral. Lineage: Bacteria; Bacillati; Actinomycetota; Actinomycetes; Micrococcales; Promicromonosporaceae.